GCUCCCUUUGUUUUAUUCUAACCAAUCAGAGACCCCCCAGGGCCCAGUGGGCGGGGCCAGCACCCAUCUGUGGGCGGGGCCUCCGGCUAGACGUGUCCAUCAGUGCGUGUGGGCGGGGCUUGGCGGAGUGUGGGCGGAGUCAUCCAGCAGGGGGGCGGGGCCAUCCUGGAUCCCACAGCGCAGAUUGGCCGGCACUGCUAUGUCCAUCAGUUUGGGCCUGGGCAGCUGCAGCCCCUCCAUCAGCCUCACAAACUCCUCCUCGCUCAGCGUCAGCCUCGGGUUCAGCCGCCGCUCCUCCCCCACCGUUGUCACCGUCUGACC
Molecule: long non-coding RNA, 321 nt
Filed under: Gallus gallus (chicken)
Lineage: Eukaryota; Metazoa; Chordata; Aves; Galliformes; Phasianidae
Source: RNAcentral